This 135-nucleotide non-coding RNA is filed under the name Micromonospora yangpuensis. RNAcentral's name for it is "SAM-I sequence". It matches the Rfam family "SAM riboswitch aptamer (S box leader)". Rfam says of the family: The SAM riboswitch is found upstream of a number of genes which code for proteins involved in methionine or cysteine biosynthesis in Gram-positive bacteria. The SAM riboswitch acts at the level of transcription termination control. The record is from Rfam by way of RNAcentral. Lineage: Bacteria; Bacillati; Actinomycetota; Actinomycetes; Micromonosporales; Micromonosporaceae.
ACCUCAUCCAGAGGGGCUGAGGGAUACGGCCCGACGACGCCCCGGCAACCACCCGCACGCUCGACGACGAGUCGGAUCGCGGGCAGGUGCCAAUUCCGUCCCCGCCGCAGGGUGCGAUGCGGGGAAAGAUGAGAG